This 467-nucleotide ribosomal RNA is filed under the name uncultured bacterium. Its description in RNAcentral is "partial 16S ribosomal RNA". It matches the Rfam family "Bacterial small subunit ribosomal RNA", at positions 28 to 506 of the family's 1533-position model. The record is from RNAcentral.
GACGAACGCUGGCGGCGUGCUUAACACAUGCAAGUCGAACGGAAAGGCCCUGCUUUUGUGGGGUGCUCGAGUGGCGAACGGGUGAGUAACACGUGAGUAACCUGCCCUUGACUUUGGGAUAACUUCAGGAAACUGGGGCUAAUACCGGAUAGGAGCUCCUGCUGCAUGGUGGGGGUUGGAAAGUUUCGGCGGUUGGGGAUGGACUCGCGGCUUAUCAGCUUGUUGGUGGGGUAGUGGCUUACCAAGGCUUUGACGGGUAGCCGGCCUGAGAGGGUGACCGGCCACAUUGGGACUGAGAUACGGCCCAGACUCCUACGGGAGGCAGCAGUGGGGAAUAUUGCACAAUGGGCGGAAGCCUGAGGCAGCAACGCCGCGUGCGGGAUGACGGCCUUCGGGUUGGAAACCGCUUUCGCCUGUGACGAAGCGUGAGUGACGGGAAUGGGGAAAGAAGCACCGGCGAACUACGU